AAUGCACUAAUUAAGGGAUUCCAAUACAAUCUGUGUUCUUAUUUUAAUAUAUUGAUUUCCAAUUGGAUCUCUUUUCCUAUAUGCAUGAACUCUUGUAGAACUUGGUAAAUGUUUGAUACAAAUAAUCGCAACUUAGGUUUAUUAGAUUAUUAUUUUAGCAUUGUGAAUACAAUAGUAUGAUCAAUUCAGCUACAGUUUGGGAAUGCCCAAAGCAUGUUCAUUAAUUUUUUAGUUGAUGCCUUUUUUAUGUAGAGGAGCAAUUUGUUUGAAAUUGCCAAAAUAGUGUUAUGUAUCAGACCUGCACUUAAUCCAGAAACAAAGAAAGGAAGCUAGAAAG
This 337-nucleotide unclassified non-coding RNA is filed under the name Hevea brasiliensis (rubber tree). The record is from RNAcentral. Lineage: Eukaryota; Viridiplantae; Streptophyta; Magnoliopsida; Malpighiales; Euphorbiaceae.